Papaver somniferum (opium poppy) is the source of this 386-nucleotide long non-coding RNA. RefSeq lists it as uncharacterized. The record is from RefSeq and is a predicted model, not a curated record. NCBI's taxonomy places the organism in Eukaryota, Viridiplantae, Streptophyta, Magnoliopsida, Ranunculales, Papaveraceae. The transcript has 3 exons.
UAAGAAGAUCAAGUGCCUAAUAAUGGCUCCUGCAUCUAAAGGAUGUUUGCAGUUGUUACUGGUACAAAGAAACGAAUCUGGCAUGAGAUUAUUCGAAGAUUGGCUCUUGAAUGUGUGACUGUCGUGCUAACAGCUAGAGAUGAAAAGAUAGGAUCAAAUACAGUAUCAUUGCUUGUCGAAUGUGGGUUGGAGAAUGUCUUUUUCUACUAGCUUGAUGUUCAAGAUCAAUCUAGUGUUGAUUCCUUAGCUAAUAUGUCCAAACCCAAUUUGGGUGGGUUGAUAUCUUGGAUGGUCGACCAUGCGAUAGAAUGUUUACCGCUGGGAGCAAUCAGGAAGAAAUGCUCUGACAUGAAGAGAAUCAUAACCUACGCAGAAUCAGCAUUGAU